Molecule: non-coding RNA, 346 nt
Organism: Equus caballus (horse)
Lineage: Eukaryota; Metazoa; Chordata; Mammalia; Perissodactyla; Equidae
Source: RefSeq, a predicted model, not a curated record
AUAGGGCCAAGAGCGGAAGCAAAGCUGGAGCCCCAGGAAGACUUGCAGGAAAAAAUGAAAAAUAAUGGAAACAAGCAUCUUCUGCUGUGUCUAGAGGAAGAAUGCUUAAUCACAAAGGGAAGAUUGAAGCCUCAGUGAAAGCAAGCCUAAAAGUUUACAAACACUGCAGAAUAAGAAAAAGGUGAUAGAAGAGGAAGACAGAAGUGGAUCAUGCAGAACAAAGGAGGCCUAACCUUUUAAAAAUCUGCGGUCUUACUGAAGAGAAAGGAGGAAAAAGAGAAGAUUUCAAUAAGAGUGUGAAAGAUGGAAGAGAGCCAGAAAGGGCUGUAGGCUUUAAAAAAAAAAA